GUAACAAGGUUUCCGUUGGUGAACCAGCGGAGGGAUCAUUACCGAGUUUACAACUCCCAAACCCAAUGUGAACAUACCUCAAGUUGCUUCGGCGGGAACGCCCCGGCGCGCCCUCCGACCCUCCCGCCCGCGGGGGGAUCGGGGAGCCUAGCCCGGACCCAGGCGCCCGCCGGAGGUACCCAAACUCUUGUCUUCAGUAUAUUCUUCUGAGUGGCAAACGCAAAAAUAAAUCAAAACUUUCAACAACGGAUCUCUUGGCUCUGGCAUCGAUGAAGAACG
Molecule: unclassified non-coding RNA, 279 nt
Filed under: uncultured fungus
Lineage: Eukaryota; Fungi
Description: partial contains 18S rRNA, ITS1, 5.8S rRNA, ITS2 and 28S rRNA
Rfam family: 5.8S ribosomal RNA (bases 235-279)
Source: RNAcentral